RNAcentral lists this ribosomal RNA (497 nucleotides) under uncultured bacterium. Its description in RNAcentral is "partial 16S ribosomal RNA". It matches the Rfam family "Bacterial small subunit ribosomal RNA", at positions 28 to 507 of the family's 1533-position model. The record is from RNAcentral.
GAUGAACGCUGGCGGCGUGCCUAAUACAUGCAAGUCGAGCGAACGGACGAGAAGCUUGCUUUUCUGAUGUUAGCGGCGGACGGGAGAGUAACACGUGGAUAACCUACCUCUCAGACUGGGAUAACUUCGGGAAACCGGAGCUAAUACCGGAUAAUAUUUUGAACUGCAUGGUUCAAAAGUGAAAGGCGGUCUUGCUGUCACUUAUAGAUGGAUCAGCGCUGCAUUAGCUAGUUGGUAAGGUAGCGGCUUACCAAGGCAACGAUGCAUAGCCGACCUGAGAGCGUGAUCGGCCACACUGGAACUGAGACACGGUCCAGACUCCUACGGGGGGCAGCAGUAGGGAAUCUUCCGCGAUGGGCGAAAGCCUGACGGAGCAACGCCGCGUGAGUGAUGAAGGUCUUCGGAUCGUAAAACUCUGUUAUUAGGGAAGAACAUAUGUGUAAGUAACUGUGCACAUCUUGACGGUACCUAAUCAGAAAGCCACGGCUAACUACGUG